CGGUCUAUAUGUCUAACAAGCUGUGUCUUCAGGUCCAACAGUCUGUCGACACGGCUAUCAGUCGAUCUAUUUGUUUACCAAGCUGUGUGACUGUCUACAUGUCCAUCAGUCUGUCAACAUGUUCACAAGUCUGUCUACAUGCUUAAACGUUUGUAAUUGCAUUUUGUUGUACAUUGAUUGACUGAUCGUCCAACUCAUCAAUUUGCUAACAGCUUCAUGCAUUCUUUUGAACUGAAAAUUCACUGUGUGUAUUCUCCAUACCAAUACCCUUCACCACACCACCCUUUGUUUGCACCGAACUCCAAACCCAGGGAAAAUCCUCUUUUACUUUCUUUUAAUUAGCAUGAUUUUUCAC
Molecule: long non-coding RNA, 355 nt
Filed under: Mytilus galloprovincialis (Mediterranean mussel)
Lineage: Eukaryota; Metazoa; Mollusca; Bivalvia; Mytilida; Mytilidae
Source: RNAcentral